Molecule: ribosomal RNA, 448 nt
Filed under: uncultured Thiobacillus sp.
Lineage: Bacteria; Pseudomonadati; Pseudomonadota; Betaproteobacteria; Nitrosomonadales; Thiobacillaceae
Description: bacterial SSU rRNA
Rfam family: Bacterial small subunit ribosomal RNA
Source: RNAcentral
AAGCGGUGGAGCAUGUGGUUUAAUUCGAAGCAACGCGAAGAACUUACCAGGUCUUGACAUCCCGAUGCUAUUUCUAGAGAUAGAAAGUUACUUCGGUACAUCGGUGACAGGUGGUGCAUGGUUGUCGUCAGCUCGUGUCGUGAGAUGUUGGGUUAAGUCCCGCAACGAGCGCAACCCUUAUCAUUAGUUGCUACGCAAGGGCACUCUAAUGAGACUGCCGGUGACAAACCGGAGGAAGGUGGGGAUGACGUCAAGUCCUCAUGGCCCUUAUGGGUAGGGCUUCACACGUCAUACAAUGGUCGGUACAGAGGGUUGCCAAGCCGCGAGGUGGAGCCAAUCCCAGAAAGCCGAUCGUAGUCCGGAUUGUUCUCUGCAACUCGAGAGCAUGAAGUCGGAAUCGCUAGUAAUCGCGGAUCAGCAUGUCGCGGUGAAUACGUUCCCGGGUCUU